CGUAAUAGCUCACUGGUCGAGUCGUCGUGCGCCGACAAUGUAACGGGGCUAAGUCGUGUACCGAAGCUGCGGAUGUCUUAGGACAUGGUAGGCGAACAUUCUGGAGGCCGAUGAAGGUGUGUCGUGAGGCAUGCUGGAGGUAACAGAAGCGAGAAUGCAGGCAUGAGUAACGAAAAAGGGGGUGAGAGUCCCCCUCGCCGAAAACCGAAGGGUUCCUGGGUAAAGGUCGUCUUCCCAGGGUUAGUCGGCCCCUAAGCCGAGGCCGAAAGGCGUAGGCGAUGGGAAACGGGUUCAUAUUCCCGUACCUCUGUAUGGGUUCUGUUGGGGUGACGCAUGAGGCAACGCCCGGCCAGGCGACGGUAGUCCUGGUGUAAAUAGCAAGCUUGUGAGGUUGGUAGGCAAAUCCGCCAACUGAGGUGAGCUAUGACGCCCAGCUGCGCUACGGCAAAGCGAAGCGGGUUGAGUCACGGUGACAAGAAAGAGCCUCGAAGGUAGACCAUACAGAGACCGUACCGUAAACCAACACAGGUCGGUAGGAUGAGUAUUCUCAGGCGCGCGGGAGAACUCGCGUUAAGGAACUCGGCAACAUACACACGUAACUUCGGGAUAAGUGUGGCCUCUUGGGGAUAGCAAUAUUUCAGGGAGGUUGCAGAGACCAGGCUCAGGCGACUGUUUACCAAAAACACAGGUCUGUGCGAAGCCGUAAGGCGACGUAUACGGACUGACACCUGCCCGGUGCCGGAAGGUUAAGAGGAGGGGUUAGC
Molecule: ribosomal RNA, 764 nt
Filed under: Symbiodinium sp. clade D
Lineage: Eukaryota; Dinophyceae; Suessiales; Symbiodiniaceae
Description: partial Bacterial large subunit ribosomal RNA
Rfam family: Bacterial large subunit ribosomal RNA
Source: RNAcentral